GGAUCCUUAGCUCAGCUGGAUAGAGCAAUCGCCUUCUAAGCGAUCGGCCACAGGUUCGAAUCCUGUAGGAUCCG
Molecule: transfer RNA, 74 nt
Filed under: cf. Phormidesmis sp. LEGE 11477
Lineage: Bacteria; Bacillati; Cyanobacteriota; Cyanophyceae; Leptolyngbyales; Leptolyngbyaceae
Rfam family: tRNA
About the family: Transfer RNA (tRNA) molecules are approximately 80 nucleotides in length. Their secondary structure includes four short double-helical elements and three loops (D, anti-codon, and T loops). Further hydrogen bonds mediate the characteristic L-shaped molecular structure. tRNAs have two regions of fundamental functional importance: the anti-codon, which is responsible for specific mRNA codon recognition, and the 3' end, to which the tRNAs corresponding amino acid is attached (by aminoacyl-tRNA synthetases). tRNAs cope with the degeneracy of the genetic code in two manners: having more than one tRNA (with a specific anti-codon) for a particular amino acid; and 'wobble' base-pairing, i.e. permitting non-standard base-pairing at the 3rd anti-codon position.
Source: Rfam by way of RNAcentral